CCUCGUCUCCCAUGACGAGUACCCUAGGAGUCAUAGCGGGAAGGCAACGACCUGUUAUGUAGCACUCUGACAAUGAAUCCUGCAACCGAAAGGUUGGCACUGGAACCGCGAGGCAACGGUGCAUCUGGGAGCAUCGAUCCGGAUCGGGGC
This is a non-coding RNA of Acidobacteria bacterium 13_2_20CM_56_17, 150 nucleotides long. NCBI's taxonomy places the organism in Bacteria, Pseudomonadati, Acidobacteriota. The record is from Rfam.